This 23-nucleotide non-coding RNA is filed under the name Cricetulus griseus (Chinese hamster). The record is from RNAcentral. Lineage: Eukaryota; Metazoa; Chordata; Mammalia; Rodentia; Cricetidae.
AGACUGAGAAUUCUUGCCCCAAC